RNAcentral lists this ribosomal RNA (253 nucleotides) under uncultured bacterium. RNAcentral describes it as "partial 16S ribosomal RNA". It matches the Rfam family "Bacterial small subunit ribosomal RNA", at positions 524 to 776 of the family's 1533-position model. The record is from RNAcentral.
UACGUAGGUGGCGAGCGUUGUCCGGAUUUACUGGGCGUAAAGGGAGCGUAGGCGGACUUUUAAGUGAGAUGUGAAAUACUCGGGCUCAACUUGAGUGCUGCAUUUCAAACUGGAAGUCUAGAGUGCAGGAGUGGAGAAUGGAAUUCCUAGUGUAGCGGUGAAAUGCGUAGAGAUUAGGAAGAACACCAGUGGCGAAGGCGAUUCUCUGGACUGUAACUGACGCUGAGGCUCGAAAGCGUGGGGAGCAAACAGG